ACACAAAUGGAAGAUAAGCUCCCAAACGCACAGAGGCAUGUGCAAACACACAAUGUGCCUUCUUUUUCUUGGGUGGCCCAACUCCCAAUCCAAACCCCACCCCCCACAAGGAAAAAAGAAAUUUUUUGAUGUAGACUUUCUACAUGUUGAUCUAAUGGAUGAUCCAGAGACUUUAUCUUGUCCAAAGUGAGCAGACGUGAAUCAAAUUUAGA
Molecule: unclassified non-coding RNA, 212 nt
Filed under: Hevea brasiliensis (rubber tree)
Lineage: Eukaryota; Viridiplantae; Streptophyta; Magnoliopsida; Malpighiales; Euphorbiaceae
Source: RNAcentral